RNAcentral lists this ribosomal RNA (273 nucleotides) under uncultured bacterium. Its description in RNAcentral is "partial 16S ribosomal RNA". It matches the Rfam family "Bacterial small subunit ribosomal RNA", at positions 29 to 329 of the family's 1533-position model. The record is from RNAcentral.
AACGAACGCUGGCGGCAUGCCUAACACAUGCAAGUCGAACGAGACCUUCGGGUCUAGUGGCGCACGGGUGCGUAACGCGUGGGAAUCUGCCCUUCGGUUCGGAACAACAGUUAGAAAUGACUGCUAAUACCGGAUAAUGACGUAAGUCCAAAGAUUUAUCGCCGAAGGAUGAGCCCGCGUAAGAUUAGGUAGUUGGUGGGGUAAUGGCCUACCAAGCCGACGAUCUUUAGCUGGUCUGAGAGGAUGAUCAGCCACACUGGGACUGAGACACGG